ACGGAAGGCAGCAGUGGGGAAUAUUGGGCAAUGGGGGAAACCCUGACCCAGCAACGCCGCGUGAAGGAAGAAGGCCCUCGGGUUGUAAACUUCUUUUACCAGGGACGAUAAUGACGGUACCUGGCGAAAAAGCAACGGCUAACUACGUGCCAGCAGCCGCGGUAAUACGUAGGUUGCAAGCGUUGUCCGGAUUUACUGGGUGUAAAGGGCGUGUAGGCGGAACUGCAAGUCAGAUGUGAAAUCCCGGGGCUCAACCCCGGAACUGCAUUUGAAACUGUAGUCCUUGAGUAUCGGAGAGGCAAGCGGAAUUCCUAGUGUAGCGGUGAAAUGCGUAGAUAUUAGGAGGGACACCAGUGGCGAAGGCGGCUUGCUGGACGACAACUGACGCUGAGGCGCGAAAGCGUGGGGAGCAAACAGGAUUAGAUACCCUGGUA
RNAcentral lists this ribosomal RNA (434 nucleotides) under uncultured Oscillospiraceae bacterium. RNAcentral's name for it is "partial 16S ribosomal RNA". It matches the Rfam family "Bacterial small subunit ribosomal RNA", at positions 341 to 792 of the family's 1533-position model. Lineage: Bacteria; Bacillati; Bacillota; Clostridia; Eubacteriales; Oscillospiraceae. The record is from RNAcentral.